RNAcentral lists this ribosomal RNA (253 nucleotides) under uncultured bacterium. RNAcentral describes it as "partial 16S ribosomal RNA". It matches the Rfam family "Bacterial small subunit ribosomal RNA", at positions 524 to 776 of the family's 1533-position model. The record is from RNAcentral.
UACGAAGGGUGCAAGCGUUACUCGGAAUUACUGGGCGUAAAGCGUGCGUAGGUGGUUCGUUAAGUCUGAUGUGAAAGCCCUGGGCUCAACCUGGGAACUGCAUUGGAUACUGGCGGUCUAGAGUGCGGUAGAGGGUGGCGGAAUUCCCGGUGUAGCAGUGAAAUGCGUAGAUAUCGGGAGGAACAUCAGUGGCGAAAGCGACUUCCUGGACCAGUACCGACGUUCAGGCACGAAAGCGUGGGGAGCAAACAGG